UGGGGAAUAUUGCACAAUGGAGGAAACUCUGAUGCAGCGACGCCGCGUGAGCGAUGAAGUAUUUCGGUAUGUAAAGCUCUAUCAGCAGGGAAGAUAAUGACGGUACCUGAGUAAGAAGCUCCGGCUAAAUACGUGCCAGCAGCCGCGGUAAUACGUAUGGAGCAAGCGUUAUCCGGAUUUACUGGGUGUAAAGGGAGUGUAGGUGGCCAUGCAAGUCAGAAGUGAAAAUCCGGGGCUCAACCCCGGAACUGCUUUUGAAACUGUAAGGCUGGAGUGCAGGAGGGGUGAGUGGAAUUCCUAGUGUAGCGGUGAAAUGCGUAGAUAUUAGGAGGAACACCAGUGGCGAAGGCGGUCUC
RNAcentral lists this ribosomal RNA (356 nucleotides) under uncultured Lachnospiraceae bacterium. RNAcentral describes it as "bacterial SSU rRNA". It matches the Rfam family "Bacterial small subunit ribosomal RNA", at positions 355 to 729 of the family's 1533-position model. The record is from RNAcentral. Lineage: Bacteria; Bacillati; Bacillota; Clostridia; Lachnospirales; Lachnospiraceae.